AACGAACGCUGGCGGCAUGCCUAACACAUGCAAGUCGAACGAGACCUUCGGGUCUAGUGGCGCACGGGUGCGUAACGCGUGGGAACCUGCCCUUAGGUUCGGAAUACCUCCCCGAAAGGGGUGCUAAUACCGGAUAAUGUCUUCGGACCAAAGGUUUAUCGCCUUUGGAUGGGCCCGCGUUGGAUUAGCUAGUUGGUAGGGUAAAAGCCUACCAAGGCGACGAUCCAUAGCUGGUCUGAGAGGAUGAUCGGCCACACUGGGACUGAGACACGGCCCAGACUCCUACGGGAGGCAGCAGUGGGGAAUAUUGGACAAUGGGCGAAAGCCUGAUCCAGCAAUGCCGCGUGAGUGAUGAAGGCCUUAGGGUUGUAAAGCUCUUUUACCCGGGAUGAUAAUGACAGUACCGGGAGAAUAAGCUCCGGCUAACUCCGUG
This 433-nucleotide ribosomal RNA is filed under the name uncultured bacterium. RNAcentral describes it as "partial 16S ribosomal RNA". It matches the Rfam family "Bacterial small subunit ribosomal RNA", at positions 29 to 507 of the family's 1533-position model. The record is from RNAcentral.